UACGUAGGGUGCGAGCGUUGUCCGGAAUUAUUGGGCGUAAAGGGCUCGUAGGCGGUUUGUCGCGUCGGGAGUGAAAACCAUGAGCUUAACUCAUGGCUUGCUUUCGAUACGGGCAGACUGGAGGUAUGCAGGGGAGAACGGAAUUCCUGGUGUAGCGGUGAAAUGCGCAGAUAUCAGGAGGAACACCGGUGGCGAAGGCGGUUCUCUGGGCAUUACCUGACGCUGAGGAGCGAAAGUGUGGGGAGCGAACAGG
RNAcentral lists this ribosomal RNA (253 nucleotides) under uncultured bacterium. Its description in RNAcentral is "partial 16S ribosomal RNA". It matches the Rfam family "Bacterial small subunit ribosomal RNA", at positions 524 to 776 of the family's 1533-position model. The record is from RNAcentral.